This 253-nucleotide ribosomal RNA is filed under the name uncultured bacterium. RNAcentral describes it as "partial 16S ribosomal RNA". It matches the Rfam family "Bacterial small subunit ribosomal RNA", at positions 524 to 776 of the family's 1533-position model. The record is from RNAcentral.
UACAGAGGGGGCAAGCGUUGUUCGGAAUUACUGGGCGUAAAGGGCGCGUAGGCGGCCUUCUAAGUCGAACGUGAAAUCCCCGGGCUCAACCCGGGAACUGCGUCCGAUACUGGAAGGCUUGAAUCCGGGAGAGGGAUGCGGAAUUCCAGGUGUAGCGGUGAAAUGCGUAGAUAUCUGGAGGAACACCGGUGGCGAAGGCGGCAUCCUGGACCGGCAUUGACGCUGAGGCGCGAAAGUCAGGGGAGCAAACAGG